RNAcentral lists this ribosomal RNA (497 nucleotides) under uncultured bacterium. RNAcentral describes it as "partial 16S ribosomal RNA". It matches the Rfam family "Bacterial small subunit ribosomal RNA", at positions 30 to 507 of the family's 1533-position model. The record is from RNAcentral.
CGAACGCUGGCGGCGUGCCUAAUACAUGCAAGUCGAGCGAAGUUUUUCUGGUGCUUGCACCGGACAAACUUAGCGGCGAACGGGUGAGUAACACGUAAAGAACCUGCCUCAUAGACUGGGACAACUAUUGGAAACGAUAGCUAAUACCGGAUAAUAGCAUUAACUGCAUGGUUGAUGUUUAAAAGUUGGUUUUGCUAACACUAUGAGAUGGCUUUGCGGUGCAUUAGCUAGUUGGUGGGGUAAAGGCCUACCAAGGCGACGAUGCAUAGCCGACCUGAGAGGGUGAUCGGCCACACUGGGACUGAGACACGGCCCAGACUCCUACGGGAGGCAGCAGUAGGGAAUCUUCCGCAAAGGGCGAAAGCCUGACGGAGCAACGCCGCGUGAGUGAAGAAGGAUUUCGGUUCGUAAAGCUCUGUUGUUAGGGAAGAAUGAUUGUGUAGUAACUAUACACAGUAGAGACGGUACCUAACCAGAAAGCCACGGCUAACUACGUG